UCUCUAAUCGCAAUGUCCUUUCUAAGUACCCAACAUUUCCUUCCAAACGCAGGCACACAGUUGAAAGUCAGAUAGUUCAUAGUUGCACUUGCAGCUAUUAGCAAUGUCAAAGAUCUCAAUUUUCUUGCUAAUCAUCAUAAUUACUUUUCUAUUGAUGAUUUUAACCACUAUUAAUUUCUGGGUUCUUCCUCUUUUUUCUUCCUCUAAUUCUCCCUUGGAUCAUCACUACAAUGUCGGAGAUCAAGUCCCUCUUUUUGCCAAUAAAGUUGGUCCCUUGAAUAAUCCCAGUGAGACGUACGAAUACUUUGUCUUGCCAUUCUGCCGCCCAGAUCAGUUGAUCAGAAGGAAGGAACCGCUGGGGGAAGUUCUAAAUGGUAAUCGUCUGAUAAACACUCGCUAUGAUAUGAAGUUUCAGGUUACGAAAGUGGCAGAGAUAUUGUGCACAAAGACAUUGGCGAGGGAGGAAGUUGUGAAAUUCCGUGAUGCAAUUAAUAGAGAUUUUUACUUUCAUAUGUACUAUGAUGACCUCCAGUUUUGGGGGUUCAUUGGGAAAGUUGAAGAAGAGAACUUGAAUUCCCAUAUGAGAGGACCCAGGUUUUAUCUUUUCACUCAUGUUCAGUUUGAGGUCUUAUAUAAUAGCAAUCAUAUUAUCGAAGUGCAUGCUUUCAGUGACCCCAAUCACAUUGUCGACAUAACAGAAGAUGCUGAAACUGAUGUGAAGUUUACUUACUCUGUAAAUUGGAAUGCAACCUCCGUCCAAUUUGCAAACAGAAUGAGAAGAUAUUCACGUGCUGCUUUACUAUCACCAGUUCAGCAGCUUCACUGGUUUUCAAUCAUUAAUUCAAUAGUCAUCAUAUUGCUUUCAAUGGGAUUACUUGCCAUGCUAUAUUGGUGGAAUAUCAAGAGUGAUUUGAGAAAGUACUCUAACGGAGAUGAAGAUGAUAGAGAGAUUGGAUGGGCGUUCAUGGGUGGUGAUGUUUUCAGAUGCCCUACAUUGCUGUCUCUCUUUUGUGCUGUGUUGGGAUGUGGGACCCAACUUUUUCUUGUGGUUUGCUGCUUGUUUGUAUUGAUCAUUCUUGGUCUUUUAGACCCUUAUACACAUGGGACCUUGUGGACAGUUGCUGUUGCGAUUUACACUGUAAUGUCGGCAGUUGCUGGAUAUUCUGCUGCUUCGUUUCACUGCCAAUUUUCUGAAACUGGAUGGGAAAGAAGUGUCCUCCUGACUGGGGUUCUUUUUAUGGGUCCACUGUUACUUGUGCUAUCCUUCCUUAAUACUGUGUCUGUAUCAUAUGGGUCUACAGCUGCCCUAUCUUUUGGCAUGAUUUUUUUGAUGUUUCUCGUACAUACAUUUGUUGCUGCUCCAUUCCUUGCAUUAGGAGGAAUUGUUGGACGCCAUUAUAGCUGUACAAACUUUGUACCAUCGACCAUGAGACACAUGAGAGAGAUUCCUUCAUUAACUUGGUACAGGAAAAUUCAGAUUCAAAUGAUUCUUGCUGGCCUCUUACCUUUCAGUGCAGUUCUUGUGGAGUUGCAUCUGUUCUAUGCAAGCAUCUGGAGCUACAAACUAUUUACACUCCCUAGCAUUCUGUUCAUUAGCUUCUCAAUCCUUGUCUCACUUACUGCUAUUUUGAGUGUCGGUUUGACUUAUAUUCAGCUCUCCGUAGAAGACCCUGAAUGGUGGUGGAGAUCAGUACUACGUGGUGGAUCAACGGCUAUUUUUAUGUUUGUCUAUAGUAUAUACUUUUAUGCCAGGUCACAUAUGAGUGGUCUUAUGCAGCUAUGCUACUUUCUGGGAUACAAUGCUUGCAUUUGUUAUGCAUGCUUCCUAAUGCUCGGUGCAAUUGCUUUCCGUGCUUCUUCAAUGUUGAUCUACCAGAUGUCUCACAGUGUUAAGAGCGAGUGAAUUCUUCAUCCAUAUAGUUUUCAUGGAUAUAUAUCAUAGAGGAAAAGCCAGAGGCUACACAGAAUGGAGAAAGCAUGACAAGAUUCUGGCAAGACAAGAUUCAAGGCCGUAAUGAUGACAGUUCCAGGAUACAAUCAACAUGCUCUAUGAUAGAAGGCCCUGGAAAUUUUGAUCCAUUUUGGCCAUUUUGCAUUUGCGCAUGAGGAAACAAUCUUUAGGAAUAUCUACCUAGUACAUGCCUAAGAUUCAUCUCUUACAUUGUUACUUGUUUAACUCGUAAACUAAAUCUACACCAUAUUUGGUGUUCUUUUAUUCCCAAAUGAGAAAAGUUAUAGGUAAUAAUGAAUAAUCCACAUACCCAAUUCUUCAUAUCUAAAGAACCAGGAAGUAGCUAAUUUCGAAUGUGGGGUUCAUUGGUCGGAUCAACGUAAUAUGGAGCUGGAAUAUAGUCUAAUGACUUAUACGGUGGAGGUGCUCCGUGGUUGGGAGAUUGCUGUGUUGGAGAUGGAGGAGAUGAAGGGGGAACAUGAGGCUCAUUAGCCGGAGCUGUAGCUGGAGCACUGGCUGAAGAUUCAUUUCUUGGGUUCCGGUAAAUAGGUGGGGCAUAUACUGGCAUUGGAGUAGGCAUCGGCUUCUUGUAUAUUGGUGAUGAAGUGUAUACUGGUUUCCUAUAUAUGGGCAUUGGUGUGUGAUAUGGUCUUUUGUACAUUGGAAACGGGUGGUUGUACAUGGGCAUCUUGUGCACUGGUGAUGGUGAAGACAUAGGCUUCUUAUGUUUGGGUGUUGGAUAGGAUUCUGGAGUAUGGUAGACCGGUGUAGGAUUCACCCUGUGUUCAGGAAUUAUUUUAUCUGUGGGCUUGUUGUAAUCUGUUGUAGGAUUGUCCAUACGGAGGCCGGAGGGAUUUUGUUGUGGUCGAUCUUCCGGAAUGGUGUACUCUGGUUUCGGAAUAUCACCGUAAUUGACUUCACUGGCUGAAGAAACGGCCACGACUAAAUAAAGGAUCAAAGACAAGAAACAAGAGUGAUAGGGAGCCAUUAAUUUUGGUCUUUUUUAGGUGACUUAUUUGUGAACAAAGCUAUGCAAUUUGAUGAUACUAAGUAGGUGACAUUGUAGCCUUUUUAUAUAUGACUGCCUUAGGACUGAUUCCCAUACUUUUAGUUGAUAACUAUGUAUAUAAAAUAUUUAUGUGGAACAUAUUUAGGUCUUUAGGAUGUUAACAACACAGUUUACAUGAUACUAAGGAGUUUUAGGCGCAUGCAGUAACAAAGGUUGUGGUUUUACUCCUGCAAUGAAGCAGACAUAUUAGGAACUCAACAGAGGUUUUCUCUGAAGUUGUUGUGACAGGAGACAUUUUUUUUGU
Beta vulgaris subsp. vulgaris (sugar beet) is the source of this 3264-nucleotide RNA transcript. It is a transcript of the gene named transmembrane 9 superfamily member 5, with no coding region annotated. The record is from RefSeq and is a predicted model, not a curated record. NCBI's taxonomy places the organism in Eukaryota, Viridiplantae, Streptophyta, Magnoliopsida, Caryophyllales, Amaranthaceae. The transcript is spliced from 8 exons.